Saccostrea cuccullata (small rock oyster) is the source of this 984-nucleotide long non-coding RNA. RefSeq lists it as uncharacterized. NCBI's taxonomy places the organism in Eukaryota, Metazoa, Mollusca, Bivalvia, Ostreida, Ostreidae. The transcript has 3 exons. The record is from RefSeq and is a predicted model, not a curated record.
GUUAAAAAUAUUUUAUAUUUAAAAAUCGGCAAUCUUCGUAAAUAAGGAGCUAUUUGAUUGGUCAGAUUUUAAAAUUUUUCUUUGCUUUUCUCUGAUUGGUUAACGGUAAUUUACCCACGCCAUUUUGAAAAAUAGAUCGACGAACCGAAUUGAGAGAGUUGGUGAUGUUUAAUAAAAUUUAGCAAAUAUUCGCCGAUGAAAUUGGUAGAAAAUAGAUGUUUAGCUACAGCAUGUUAGCAUGGAUCACAUUUAUAAACAAAGAAAAGCGAAAACGGAAGGAGGUUGGCGUUUUUCAUGCAUCAUGCCCUGGCUUUGCUGGUGUAAACAACGCCAUAUGCGUUUGAGUGCCUCUGCAGAGCCAUAGAAGAAAAGCUGAUUAGUUAUAGAGGAAUAGGACACCCACCCACCCUCCCACCCUACCCCUUGAGGCAUUACAGAUUAUGCAGGACCAAGCAGGAUGACAGUGAGAAAACUGGAGAUGUACUUCUUCAACAAAGUAAAGUGCUGUGCAAAAGAAACCCCAAAGCAGAGAGAAGAUCUAGACUUUUGAAUUCAUAUCUCAUUAUAAAUGUACAAUUUACAAAGACAAUAAGAUUGAUAAAACAUGACUUAGAAAUGAGGACAAUUGAAGAGUGAAUACUGUAUGUAAGACAGAAAAGAUCAAGAUAAUUGCACAAAAAGUAACUAAAUCAGUAAUCUAAAGACAUUUCUCUUUAAAAUCUGAUUGAAAGCUGCAUUUAAGAAAAAGUUUUUCACGUUUUUAGUACUUUUCUAGGCACUGCUUUGUAUUAUUUAAAGCUUUUUUAUGUACUUUUUGUCUAUCAUUCUUGUACCUUUUUUGAACUCCUAAAUGUACUUUUUUUUGUAUUUUUCAGAAUGUAUUAUUUUUAGAUUUUUUUGUUUUAAAUGCGAUUUUAAUACAGAAAUAAUAGACUGAUACAAAAUUAAUACAUUUUGCAUUAUUUUCCUAUUUUUUUUUCAAGG